GCCGGGCGAGGUGGCGGGCGCCUGUAGUCCCAGCUACUCGGAGGCUGAGGCAGGAGAAUGGCUUGAACCCGGGAGGCGGAGCUUGCAGUGAGCUGAGAUCCGGCCACUGCACUCCAGCCUGGGCAACAGAGCGAGACUCUGUCUCAA
This 147-nucleotide small RNA is filed under the name Macaca mulatta (Rhesus monkey). RNAcentral's name for it is "Metazoan signal recognition particle RNA (ENSMMUG00000054400.1)". The record is from Rfam by way of RNAcentral. Lineage: Eukaryota; Metazoa; Chordata; Mammalia; Primates; Cercopithecidae.